CCGGACGGGAGGGGAUGGGAGGGAGGCUUCGCUUCACAAACUCCCCUGGGACAGCCGGGCCCGGUGGCCCCGCAGGACUCGUGGAAGGUCCGAGCUGGGACCGCAAGAUGUCUCGGCAGGGAGGGGCUCGGGACUGCAGUGCAGCGAAAGCACGGAGCAGCGCGGAAGAAGCGGCGGGAGCGGGACAGCGACGGCCCGGCUCCCACCAGGGCAGGGAGAGCUGAGCUCAAGAUCCCGGGCAGCCGAGCAGACGGGGAUCGGUCCCUCGUUUAGUGAGGUAGCUCUUAAUAAGGUGCCGGUUCAGAGGCUGCUCUCACGAGCAGAGGCUCACCCACAGAAAGGACAAGGCACUACAGGACUGGGCUCUUGCAGUGACAGGGAAUUCUCCUCGCAAUAAACAACAGCCUGCCUGUCCUCCUCCAUGAUCCAGAAGAAGAGCCACAGCAGCUCCCCAGCCACAUCUUUAUGCCUGUCCAAAUCUCCAGGUUUCCCCUUCCCUCUCCCCUGGGUUUGGCCAUGCUUCUGUUUUUCUCAAAUGCCCAUAAGUACCCAAUAGUUAGCCUCCUAGCAAUUUACGGGAAAAAAAUUCCAUAGAUACAAAAGAAAAAAUAACAACAAAACAACUCUCGACAAAAGGUUCUAUAAAAACCAGUCUGCUGAAAUACAACUUCCUUCCAAGACUAUUUCUUCUCUUCCCAGCUAGGCAUUUGUUGUCUGCUUUCCCUGUGCAAGUUCGCUGGUCACUUCUGCCUUCACAUGUGUUUGGUUUAAAUAUCAGACAACUUAAUUCCAUGGCUUUUGAGAUUUCUGGACAUAUAUUGCUAAGACAGGAAACUUUAAUUCUUCACAGCUGGUUUUCACAGUGUUCCUACUGUGAUCAGAGCCCCAAAUAAAAAGUAGGAAAAAAAAAUAUGUCUCAUAUAGAAGCUGUAUAGCCUUUCCAUACUGUUGAAUACUUCUUAAGAAAGAAAGCAUUCUGCAGUAUAGAGAGAAUAUGAAACAAUAUAUUUCCCAAAACUAAGUUUCUCAGAAUAAAUAGUAAUGAAAAAAUAGUGGGUGAUAGGACCUGGGGACAAAAAUUACUCCAUACAAAUAAAUUUGUUCAGGUGAUUGCUCUUCUGUUUGACUUUGACCACAACCUAAUCCCUUUUCUUUGCCUUGAUAUCUUACUCUCUCUCAUGUUUAGCUGCUGAGCCCUGCAGUGGAGGGAUGCACAAUAUAAGCACAACGGGGUCAGAUAAUUUUCUGGGUUUCUCACCAUUUUUCCAGUAAUAGGGUUUUCUUCCUUUCUAGUGUCAGAAUUGUGUCAACUGUGGCUGGGUCAGACUUGAAGCUUUAGGGUUUUGUUGUCUGUUUCCAUUGCUAAUACUCAGAAGGACCUGCUGGCUUUUUUCUGUGUAACUGAUGAUGUUUCAUUUUUAUUGCAUGUGCAUGGGCAGUGGAAUUCAUAAUUGGAUUUCUCCCACUGUCAGCCUGUAUCUGUAAAGAAUAUGGAGCCUGGACUCUAGCAGAAUGCAGAAUUAUGUGUACAUUAUUGCUUCACUCCUCUAGAGGGAACUCUUACUUUAAAUCUCUUCAUGCAUUUCUCUGUAAAUGCAGUGGCCUGACCAAAAUUAGGAAAGACCUAAACCUCUUUCGCCACAAUGAAACUCGGCAGAAACCAGCAGUGGUUAUCUUCAGGAUCAAUGAUUUUCAGUUUUCCUCCUUUCUUAGCAUGGCCUGGCACUUCCAUCUCCAAGAAACAUGAAGGACACAGUGUUAAGGAUGCUCCAGAGAGCUGGAUUUGGAUCUUUUCCAGUUCUGACCCUUUAUGUGCUACAUCAGUUCUUCAGGCUAAAAGGAAAAACUUGAAUUCUGCUGUUUGUACUGGCCUCAGACAACAGAAAGCUUUGUCCUGAGGAUUUGGUGUAAGAGAUUGCCUGGGGGACUGGGGAGAGGACUGGGGAGAAGUGCAGAGUACAGCAGCUAUACUGCGAACACUUCUAACCCACACCAUCCACUUGUGAAGCUGCCCUGUUAGCUGCAAAGGCUGAGGCCCAUUUUCAGACCUGAGUAGGUUUCAAGAUCCAUGGCUGGCAAAUAAAAAGAAGAGGACUUCUCUGUGGGAGGAACAACUUCUGCAUUCAGAGGAGUGUGGAGAAUAGUCUUGUGGAUAUCAUGAGGUCUCUGUUUUGGGCUGAGCUGCUCACAGUGGAUGAGUGCAGUCCUGUCACAGGAUUUCAGAAGAGUGACUGGAUAAUAGGGCAGGCUUCCUCCCACUAUCCGCUCCAGUUCUGUGCCUUUCCCAAAGACCAAUGUCAAUCUGCCAGCUUCUCUGAUUACCCUUAUAUGGAAAAGUAAUAAAUCACCACUUCUGUUCAUAUUCCUUUGGUGCAGUGCCACUCUUCCUACACUUCCCAGAUGUCUUUAUAGGGAACAAACCAUGAAAGAGUGCAGAUGCAAACCCACCAGUGCAACAUUGACUAGCUUACUUCUGGGAAAAGGGACAGCCAUGAAUAUAGAAGAAUUUUGGUCUGAUUCAGCAUCCUUAACAGCUGGAAAUUAUAAAAAACUAGAUGGAGAAAAGUGGACAGCUAAGUCUGUUGGCACUUCAUACCUUGUCUGCAUUUUGCAGAAUUCUACAGUCCACUAACUUGGCCCUCCGGCAUGAACUACUUCCAGAAUUCUCUGAGAAUUUUAUAACUUCGCUUAUGAGCAGUUUGCUGUCCCCUACUCGACUGGAUAGAUCAGGUGUGCUGGAACCAGAAAGGAGAAUAAUAAUAAAACCUCAGCAUUUUGUUCUUUUCAUGUCUUUCAAUAAGAAAAGGUUUGCUAUAGGCAGGAAUUUCUAAUUUACCAGUAUUGGUCCAUUAGGGAAUGGCAUCAAAACAAGUUAGCAAGAAAAAUAUGACAGGUCGAAGAAAAAUUGCCCAUGUUCCUUGUUGUUAGGCAGCUGUGAGAACUGAUUCAUGCCAUGGUGCUGCCAAGGGGUCUAGGUAUGUGAUAAAUUCAAUUGUAACAACAAAAGUAAUCACAGGAACUAAUCUGAUUCCAUGAACCCUUCAGUUGAAUAAAGUGAAUGAUCAAGGAGUGGAUAAGGGUUCUUCUAAGUGGCAUUUAUACCAUGCCUAACAUCUCAAAUUUUCUACCUUCUGAUUCCCAGCUUCUGUCUCAUUUGUUUCUGCUCUAUGGGUCCCUUGAAGGUCUUGUGAAUGUACCACAGCCUUAGUUCUCUCUUUGUGCUGAACCCAGCAUUCUUCUACUCUGCUUCAUUGCUCUGAGAUAAUUCAUGACAGAUAAAUAAAUGCCAGAGUACACUCUUCUCAGGGAACAAAAAUGGAUUCACAGAACAGAGGUGUACCAGAAAAUUGACAGUCCAGGGGGAAAAGCCGCUUUGACUACUUCCCUUCUACCUUAAGCUGGUUCCGUUCAUGCUGCCUUUACAAGCAAGGAUAGGACAUGGGCUCCAAACCAGUCCCUAGCUGGUGCAGAUUCAGUACUUUCUGUGUGGAAUAGCUUAAUUCACAACAUAUAUUGAGAGACCUUAUCCUCGGGGCUUUUCAAGCAAUUGUUUUGUUAUUUCUGCUGUAUUUGUUCUGGGACAGUCAUUCCUUUUCUGUGUCAAGAAGGCACUUUUUGCAGAUCACCAUGACAAUGCCAUACUGUGAGGUAAGUACACUUGAGGGGGAGCAAGAGGCAUUUGAGCAUGCAAGUCCUGCUGAGACAAAGCUGUAGGACUCUCAGGUAUGGGCAGUACAGUGUAAUGCCGUAUACACAAUUUAGAACAAACUGUGCUCUCAACAGCUUAUUUUCAGAGAGAAGUCCAGAAGCUACAUCAAAUGUAUGCACCAUGAUCAGUGAGGGCUUAAGCCCAGGAGUGAAAUAGGGACACAGAGAGCAGAGCAGUUGAGUAUACACAAAGAGCCACUAACAUACGUUUGCUUUUCUAUGUCAGAGGGCAGCUGGCCUGUCUUUUUGCAAUUGCAACGUCUCUGGAAAGCCUUGCAGAAAACAGGUGACCCAGUGAAGUACAUGUUUUGCAGGAGUACACACAGCAGUCACACAUGCCGGUUCUGGUUUGGUGCAAUUAACCAGUACUACCUGUGCUUGCCUGGAUGUGCUCUCCUGAAGUUUCCAGGUACCUCUAUUCACGGUCCUUUAAUGAGGACUGCUAAUUCUUAAGCAUGAUUGUCUGUGGUCCUUGCCUAGUCAGGAGAGAAACAGAGGGGGGAAAGUCAUCUGUUUGGGCAACCCCAGAUGCUACUUGCAGAGUGGGAGAAAUUCAUGCUGUCUGAAUUUAUGUUCUUCUGACACAACAUCCUAUCUGUCAUCAGAGCACCUUCCUUCUCUAGCAUAGGGGAAGAGGAAAUCAGAAGCACAGAAUAAUCUGUGAAACCUAAGGAAAUAGCAAGAUGCUGUAUUAUGAAUGCCAGUUUAUCAUGUGGCCUGCUACUAGGCUGCUGUACAUUAUAUUAUCCAUACACCUUCACAGGGCCCAGCAGUUCUGCCCAGUGGAAUUAGAGGGGAAGAGGGCAUCUCUCUCAUGAUAGCAUCUGUUACUUGGCACUAAGGAUCAGUUUAAUGUACAGCCUUUGAGUUGUAAUGAUUGGUCUUCCAGAAAUACAGUUCCAUUCCCUCAGGAGCAAUAUUCCCUCAGCAUGGAACAAAUGAGAAAACUUUUCAUGAGCUGAGAAACCAUUAAGCCAAAACCCACCAAGUGUGAAGACAUUCCUAAACUGCUAAUUAGCCUCUGUCUGUCUCAUCACUCUCUUGAAAUCUGAGAUCCUAUUAAUACUCGUUUACCAAGAAAGAUACUUGGGCUGUGUCUACACUGUAAGACAGUGACUCUCACAGGGAAUCUUGGUACACUGAAUUUCUUUGUAGGACCAAGAGAGAGAAAACCAGCAAAGAUCCAUUGAAAAACCUUUGCUUAAAAUCUACCUCGCUCAACAUGUUAACAAAUGAACAUUCAAGGACUGUGUACCUUGGCCUUCAGUAUAAACAGUUUAGCAAUAGAUAGUAUCAUUUAACAUACUUUGUACCUGCAUACAGUUGAUGUAUACACUAGAUACAAAAUAAUCACUUCAUGGUUUAUCCAGAAGCCUUCAUUUUUUAAACUGAAAUCCUCACUGUCACUACUGAGAAUUUUGAAUUUCUGUUUGAGCAAAAAUUACGUAACUUGCUGGAACAGAAAAUCGAAGUUACUAUUUGUGUAUCUAUUCUCUGGGAAACCUCAGGUUUUCAACAAAGAAAAGAAAAAAAUAUCCAAGGACUCACCUACCACCCUCUUCUAAGCCCAAUGAGCAGAGAAAAUUUACACACAAUUGAUUUUAACCAACUCCUUAGGGUAAACCUAAGAACCAAGACAUCAAAUAAACCUUGUUUAAGUGUACUAGAAUUGUUCUAAUGUGAAAGGUGAAUAAUAUGUAAAUAGGACUAUCAGCUAGAAUAUAUGAUAAUGUCUAGAUCAGGCUAGAGUUUUACCAGCUGGUAGUCCUUCUCUGACAUUGAUAAGACCAAGCACCUGCAGAAAAAAGCAAAUGUAGCCAAGAUUCUACAAGAUGAUUUCCCAUCCUCUAGUCAUAUGAUGCCCAGAUAUUUCCAGUACUACAGGCAGUAUUGCUUUACAUGACAGGCCUAGAUAGACUUUUCAUCAGAAGUGAUAUCUGAUCAUUGCUGAGCCACAUAGUCUUCUGGCAUCUAAAAUUGUUUUGUUAAGGUGUCCCACCUUUAAACUACAUUUUUUGUGGAAUACAUCCUGUAUUUUGUCUUCAGAUUUUGGUUAAAUCAACGAUGCAUUGCUGUCACCAUCUGGACUGUAGCUGUAAAGAGGGAAAGUUGCCACAAGUAUCCUCAGCACACCAGGGUACAUUCCAGACCGCUGCUUGGUGAACCUGCUACAUUUGUUGGCCACAUGGCAUAGAUAUUGUGUAUUGUGGAAAGUAGGAUCAGAAUAAUAUAUCUGGGGUUUUUUUGAGAGUGUGCUGAAACAUUUUCGAGACAAGAGCUCCUCACAUAGCAGCAGCAUGGCUGGGAAUGACACUGUGAAAAGGCACUCAUAAAGAACUUGCAGAACCUUUUCUCUACCCCCUAGGACUGCUGUGGCAGUCUUGAGACCCAAGGUCUCACUGCAGAACUGUUGACCUGAAACAGUGCAGCAAGGACUGGAAAGAAAUAGGAAGAAGACCAAAGCACCUGCCCAAGGAUUAAGGCUAAAUUUCGUUCAGAAAUUACAUCAAAACACUGUAGAUAUGCUUUUCUGCUCUCCUCAACACUGCAGGGUUCAGACUUUCAGAUCCUGUGUUAAUGACUCCAGGAAAUCAUGUAGUCACCCAGAGUGAAAAAAAUGGGUAAAACAGGUCUGUCAAACAAGGGUGUUUCCCACUCUGUUCCCUUCUCUUUCCCAAGACUCAACUUUCUCUUGAAAGUAAGCUGGUUUUUACCAUUAUACCUUUAUACAGAGAUCCCAGGUUUUGACAUACUUGGUUGGAUCUGAAGUGACUGCAAAAUUCUUUUCUUCUCUUAAGAACAUUUGAAGAGCCAGACAAGAAAGAGGCUAAUGAAUUAAUGUUUAUGAGCUCUAAGAAACCUGCUUACACUUUCUGAACCAUCCAUGGUCUGUGUAGAUGGAGUAGUACUGCAGGCUGCUGAUCUCAGAGACUUCAAGCCUUGUUUUCCCCUGGAAGCAAAGGAAGGUUUCAUUUCCAUGUGAGAAGAGAUUAUCAUGGGCGCUUUGACAGCUUGGCAGCAGUGGAGAAUUUAAGAAUCAGUGUAACCAUGCCUGGCUUCAGAGCAAGACUCAGCAAGGAUCUGGAAGGAGUAAACCACCUGAGACAUGUGGUUAGUGCACCACACAGAGCAGUGAGCUGGAGCUAUGUGAGAGCAUCCCUGAGAUGGCUCCCAUUGCCCAUGCCUGCCUGCAAGAAGGGCAAGGGAAGCAGUGGAGUUUGCUUGGGAUUCUCUUGGUCUCAUACCUUCCCAGAUGAUAAGUGAGGUACUGUGUGUUGUGCAUGCCUUUCUCUGAGGUUAUUUUUUCUGCUAGUUGAUUUGUUUUAAUUUUUAUUGGGUGCUGUUGACAUCACUGCAAUUAUGCGGUUUGUUCUGGUGUCCCAGAAAUAUGGGAGAAAGAAAUGCCAAGAAAUUCUGGCAUUAUUUGUGAGAAGUCAUCCAGAGCCAAUAUUUAACCUAGUACUGAGCAGAUCAUGACCUGACAUUAUAUGCACUCAGUUUGGAAACACUGCAGAAGAGUAUCAAAGACAAGUAAGUUUGAGCUGUGCUUUAAUUUUAAAUCUGGGAUCUUGUGGCAGGUGCUAGAAAAGCAUUCAGAAUUCCACAAUGUCAAUGAAAAUAUUUUUCCUAGUCUCAGUGGAGUUUUGAUUGUGUCUCUCACUGAAGGCAUGGUUGGCCCUUUCACCAGAAGCGCAGGACUGGCAGCCCCUUCCUUACAAACAGUUACCCAUGGGAAAGAUUUCUAAUCCAAAAGAUUAGAAGUGACUCCAAAGGUGGUUUUUUAAUUUUUCUAAUUUUUCAGGCUAUGGGAGCAAAAAUAACCUCAAAAGCUCCUGAAUGAAGCCUGCCAGAGGAAAAAAACGAGGGCUGACCAAAGCCUGAGGACCUGAGGCAAGCAAAACUUCAGAAGUAUUUUUUUUUUCCCAAUGUUUCUUUUGAAAAAGUGUGAAUAUUCUUAGCAUCUUUUUGACCUGUUCUAGCACAGGAAUCUGUUCCUACUGCUCCUAAUUUCUGUAUUUGGAGUGUCCUUCUUUCACUAUUUAGAGUUUAUUCCAGGUUUACAGCUAAUUGUGGGUAAAAAAGCCUUUGGUAGGUGGAACAGUAUGAAACAUGCCCUCACUUCCUGGCUCUUUUGAGGACAGUAGUGACCCAUGGCCAGACAGGCUGUCUUACUUCUCAGUGAAUGGUUCUACAUGGUGGGGUGAUGCACAGCAGCAGGUACUCUCCAGUGUCAUUGGCAAGAAGUGGGACUGGUGAUAUUGGGUCACUUCCUACAGGAAGGGCCUACAAUGAAGAACAUGGUGUUUAUCUGACAUGAAUGGUUGGGAGAUUAUGUCAUUGAAAAUGCACUGCACCCCCACUAACCCCCAGGUGUUAACCUGCUACAUCCCAAGUGGUCCCCAUUUAGCAUCUGCAUUUCUGAUGUGAAUGCAUUGUUCUGUCUGAGUUAACUUGAACUGUUUUAGGGAAGCAUUCUGAGUGUUGCUGAGCAGAGAUAGCACCACACACGGAUAUAAAAGCAUUGUUAAGACAAGCUUUAUAUGGGAUGUUCUGCCAAAUGGUUCCCUUCCCUUCCUCUUCUCAUUUCCUUGUCCUCCUUCAGCCACUGGAGAAUGCUAAUCCCUUUAUUCGCUUAUACGUAAACUGGUGACUUUCCAGACCUGCCACAAAAGACAUUUGACUAGAUGACUUUUCUGGAAAGAUGCAGCAGGAGGAGAUGGAAAUGUCUUUCCUGAGGAUUACUGCUAUGUUUGUAUUGACAGUCAGAAUAUGGAGAACUUUGCACUGACAGCUGUAAAUAAAAAGGAUAAUACAACAGCUAGUUUCAUUCUUCCCUCUUACAUAAACUCUUUUUUCAAUAUCUGGUUUUUGACCUUUAGAAACAACACAUGCACAAUGUCUUGUUCAUCCCAAGCAGCAAGCUUUGACAUUUUGUUCUUAAUACACAAAAGAGCAGGCACACAACUAUAUCUGAAUGGAGAAAGUAUGGAGACAUCUAUGGAGAUCAAAGCCAUUGCUGGUUCCAAAAAUUUCUCAGAAUUAAAUAUGAAAAUUAAAAUCUAGGCAUUAGAAACCCGAGUCAGGAUUUCCUAAUCUGACAGGUACACUGGCUAAAAUCCUUUUUCUUCCCUCUUUCCUUCCAGCCAAGAAAAUCUCUGUCUGUCCACCCACCGAUUGACUGCUGGACAGUCUAUUUGUGCUCUAUUCCAGAGACAGUGGCAGGGUAAGCAGGGAUCAUCACCUUUUCUGAUGUGGCUGGGCAUUGCAGAGCAACAUGCAAGAGUAUUGGGGCCCAGGAUUAAUUCUAAAGGCUCACAGGAGACAUCUGAAUUCUUGUCCCUCCAUCAAAAACUAUUUCUCUGCUACACCUAAGAACACUUUUAGUGUAUUGAGGCUGCUAUGAUGCUGAAAGAAUAGUUAUACCAUGCUGUUUUUAGAAGAUGUGGUCCUAAGCCAUGUCUUGUACAAAUGUGAGUCCUUCUAGUCCCCUAACCCAGACACUGACACAGGGGAUAAGCAAUGUCCUUAGAGCUCCCCCUUUCCAAGCAUUCCAGUCUGCAGAUUGGGCCUUGCCUUGCCUUUCCGCACCCUUCCACACCUUUCCGCACCUUUCCUUUCCGCACCUUUCUGCACCUUCCCUUCCCGCACCUUCAUCCUCUUCAACCAUCCAUUUUCCAUAGCACAGCUUCCCUCUGCUUUCACAAGGAAUGAAGCUGCUCUUGUCAAAGAGCAGUCAUCUUUCACCAAGGAAGAUUUCAGGAGGCAAAGUUUCCCAGGUCAACUGAGAACUGCUCUAAUUAAUUACCUCUAAUAUGAUCCCACAACUGUCCUUAAUUCCAGCAAUCCCCCUCCAUUGCCUGUGUGGAGCCUUGCUGUGUGUGAUGGAGCAAACUGUUCUGGUGACAACCAUUCUUCAGCUUAGCUGCACUCAUAACAAAUGGUUGAAAGUGGUUUUUCAUGGUUACUUCCUUAAGCAAUAGUGGUGGUAAGGGACUGGUGCUUUCCUCCUGCACCCACAGGGUCAGAACAUCUCUGCUUUGGUAAAAUGUGGAAGCAUAGUUCUGACACCUGCGAGGAGAGAGGAGAAAAGGGAAUGAGCCUUUCAAAAUAAGGACAGUUCUUCAACUGUUCUUAAAAAGGCCUGAAACUUGAAAACCACAAACUGCAGGUGAAAAGCUACUUCUUUUAUGAUGUGGGAUACUUUCUUCCACACAGUGAUUCCUUCAUGUCUUAACACAUGAGUUUUGCAUUUCCCAAAAUGAAAUGGGAAAGAACAGUGGAAAAAUCAUACAUUGCCUUUUUUCACUAGUGUCUCACUCCAUCUUUUCAGCCCAGAAUUUAAAGAUAGGCUCUGGCCUUCACUUAAAAGGUAUACAGCAGAUGGUUUCACCAAAAGGAAAGUAGUGACUUCAGAUUCAGUUUGAGAAUUUUAUUAAAACCAUAGGUUUCUGUUCUAUACAAAACUGAGGAGAUUUCUAAAAAAAAAAAAAAAAAAAUCGUAUUAACGACAUAGAAAACAAUGUGUAAGUGGCUUGUUGAUAAAAAUCUCUGAAAGCUAUAUACAUGAUUAAUACUACACAACUGUAUUAAUGUAGAGACUGUUAGUAACUUUAGCAAUAUAUACAAACUACCUUUACACUCAUAAAUAUCUUAUUUACAGCUAAUAAAUAACACCCAAAGCUAAAUCAUGUUUCCUUAUGAAAAGAACCUUCACUAUUUUGUAUCCAAAUUCUAAAUGUGUUUGUAUUUGAUCCUGUAUUAAGGGCACAGCUGUCCAGAUACUUUGCUUCUGAAGAAUUGAACUUUUAAGAGAAAAUUGCAACAAAAUAUGGAAUCUAUAGGGAAUAAAUCACUGUAUUUAUUUUUAGAGGUCUCAGAUGCAGUGGCUCAAUACAAAACCCCACCCUCAGUGACUCAUCACAUCUCUGCUGUAGUUUAAUCAAACAUGAAAUCAAAUGUGAGCAAAUUCAGAGUUAUUAAUAUUCCAACAUAUUGCACUGUUUAAGACUUUUAUCCCCAAAUAUACUAGCAGCUACAGUUGGAAAUAGGAAACAAAUUGUGCACAUAAACACAUAGGUUUUUUUUUUGCUUUUAAGAUGGGAUGAUAUUGGAGAAAUCACCAUCUCCAUGCUGUCUUGCACAUCCAGGAAAAGACAAUACCCAGCAUCAAUAGCUAACAUUACACGUCUCCAAAUGUCUACCUUCAAGCCCUUGUACCUCCUAGCAUUUUGUUUACCCUCUAGAAAGUUAAAAGAGGGUAUUGCACCUUUCAGCACACUAGAAAAAUUAUAUGUUACUUAAAAAUGGGGAAGCAGACUGCCUUCAAUAUACCUACUUUUUUAAACUUGCAGCGUGGCUAAUUUGAGUGUUUUUCAGAGCACUCCUUGUGGAGCACACAACCAGGCUGCUUUUAAUUGGCUCAGCUCCUGCUUCCUGCUGAAUUCCAUCUCAUGGCAGAAAACUAAGCAGCUCCUAGCACUGUACCACAGCCAAGAAACAAACUGGUGGAUCACUGGCAGUCACAAUUCCAGUACAGGGAAGUAUGAGCAUCCUUAUCAGCUAUCAAGUGGAUUCACUCGCACUGAAAACUGCAUACAGCAGCCACUCAGUUGCAUGACUGACACUUGGUGUCAAAGAGCAGAGAAACUGUGACAGUUUUGGCAUACAUGACGCAAGCAAGCAGGGAGAGGGUGGAGAGUGGGGGAAGUAUCUGUUUCCUGCAUUUUCUGGUAUCUCAAUUCCUCUGCAGCUCCAUUUUCACAGUGUUGAAGGCUAGACAGUUUCACUUGCAAUAACUGAAAGCACAGAUAAAAUAUUAAAUGUCUGCAUAAGACACUGGCAUUGCUACCUUCUCCUACAGCUGUUAUUUAUUCCAGGGUAAGCGACAUAGAUAUAUAGCUUAACAGAUCAUACCUAUUCCUAAGCAGCACUGGCAUCUACCCCCAAUUAAAUACAUUCAUAACCACAAACUAAAAAAAUUCAUCCCCAUAUUAAGUCAGUCCCUGACACCUUCUAGUAUUACACACAGCAAAGGUGGGGUUUUUUUUCACAUAGGAAACCUACUUACUUGCUAAACACACACUUGAAAAUUAUGAACUCUCUCCACUGAACUGCCUGAAAAUUCAGUUAGCCAAGACAAAAAAAAA
Molecule: non-coding RNA, 11855 nt
Organism: Cyanistes caeruleus (blue tit)
Lineage: Eukaryota; Metazoa; Chordata; Aves; Passeriformes; Paridae
Source: RefSeq, a predicted model, not a curated record